AUGCAAGUCGAGCGGAACGAUCCUAGCUUGCUAGGAGGCGUCGAGCGGCGGACGGGUGAGUAACACGUGAGAAUCUGCCCAUUAGAGGGGGAUAACCUGGGGAAACCCAGGCUAAUACCGCAUAAUCCCUACGGGGGAAAGCAGGGGAUCUUCGGACCUUGUGCUGAUGGAUGAGCUCGCGUCGGAUUAGCUUGUUGGUGAGGUAAUGGCUCACCAAGGCGACGAUCCGUAGCUGGUCUUAGAGGAUGAUCAGCCACACCGGGACUGAGACACGGCCCGGACUCCUACGGGAGGCAGCAGUGGGGAAUCUUGGACAAUGGGGGCAACCCUGAUCCAGCCAUGCCGCGUGUGUGAAGAAGGCCUUCGGGUUGUAAAGCACUUUCAGUAGGGAGGAAGGCUUAUCCUUAAUACGGAUGAGUACUUGACGUUACCUACAGAAGAAGCACCGGCUAAUUUCGUGCCAGCAGCCGCGGUAAUACGAAAGGUGCGAGCGUUAAUCGGAAUUACUGGGCGUAAAGCGCGCGUAGGCGGUUUGCUAAGUCAGAUGUGAAAGCCCCGGGCUCAACCUGGGAACUGCAUUUGAAACUGGCAGGCUAGAAUGCAGUAGAGGGAGGUGGAAUUUCCGGUGUAGCGGUGAAAUGCGUAGAGAUCGGAAGGAACACCAGUGGCGAAGGCGGCCUCCUGGACUGACAUUGACGCUGAGGUGCGAAAGCGUGGGGAGCAAACAGGAUUAGAUACUCUGGUAGUCCACGCCGUAAACGAUGUCUACUAGUCGUUGGGAAUCUUAGUAUUCUUGGUGACGAAGUUAACGCGAUAAGUAGACCGCCUGGGGAGUACGGCCGCAAGGUUAAAACUCAAAUGAAUUGACGGGGGCCCGCACAAGCGGUGGAGCAUGUGUUUAAUUCGAUGCAACGCGAAAACCUUACCAGGCCUUGACAUCCUUGACUUUCUAGAGAUAGAUUGUGCCUUCGGAGCCAAGUGACAGGUGCUGCAUGCUGUCGUCAGCUCGUGUCGUGAGAUGUUGGGUUAAGUCCCGUA
This 1038-nucleotide ribosomal RNA is filed under the name uncultured bacterium. Its description in RNAcentral is "bacterial SSU rRNA". It matches the Rfam family "Bacterial small subunit ribosomal RNA", at positions 55 to 1091 of the family's 1533-position model. The record is from RNAcentral.